ACACUCUCGUCCCGUUUCGAUUUCAGCUGACCUAAUUUCUGGCUGUCUCGAGCCUAAAAAUUCCUUCGAUUUCUUCCCCGAUUAUUUCAUAGCCGAUGUCGGAUCCGUCGGCCGCCGGUGGACAGUCGAAGACGGCGGAGGGAGCUGCCGCUGCCGCCUGCGGUGCCGCGGCGAGGAAGGAGAAGCGGAAGGCGGUGAAGAAGCUCAAGAGGAAGCAGGUGAGGAGGGAGGCGGCGAUCCGGGAGCGGGAGGAGGAGGAGGAGCGGUCCAAUGAUCCGGAGGAGCAGCUGAGGUUCCGGUUGAGGGAGCAGGAGGAGGCCGAGAUCGCCGAGAGGGAGAGGAAGGCGUUCGAGGAGCGGGAGAGAUUCUGGUUGGAGGCAGCCGCCGCGCGAAAGGCUGCGGAGGAAGAGGAGGAGUCCCGGAGGAAGAAGCUUCUCGAAGAGUCGCGAGAAAAGGAGAAUCAGCAGAAAGAGCGUGCAGAUGAGUUGGAAGAAGGUGAUGAAUGGGAAUAUGUUGAAGAAGGGCCUGCAGAAAUCAUCUGGCAAGGAAAUGAAAUCACAGUGAAGAAGAAAAGGGUUAGAGUUGCAAAGAAAGGUGCUGAUAGACAGCCAAUUAAAGAGGAUGAUGAGAGACCCACAUCAAAUCCACUUCCUCCACAGUAUGUAGCUUUUGCUUCUUACAAGAAUGGGCCAUCUAUGUCAGCACAAAAAGUACUUGACAAAGCUGCUCAACAGAUUCCAAAUUUUGGAACUGAGCAAGAUAAAGCUCACUGUCCAUUUCACCUUAAGACCGGAGCCUGUCGUUUCGGGUCACGUUGCAGUAGAGUUCAUUUUCAUCCUGAUAAUUCUUGCACAUUGCUCAUCAAAAAUAUGUACAGUGGCCCAGGACUUGCUUGGGAGCAAGAUGAGGGGCUUGAGUAUACAGAUGAAGAGGUUGAACAUUGUUAUGAAGAAUUUUAUGAGGAUGUGCAUACAGAAUUCCUGAAGUUUGGCGAACUUGUUAAUUUCAAGGUGUGCAGGAAUGGCUCUCACCAUCUACGUGGAAAUGUGUAUGUGCAUUACAAGUCCCUGGAUUCGGCCCUGCUUGCUUACACUAACAUGAAUGGCCGUUAUUAUGCUGGGAAACAGAUAAUAUGUGAGUUUGUUGCUAUCACGAGAUGGAAGGUUGCUAUAUGUGGGGAAUACAUGAAAUCAAGGCUAAAGACUUGCUCUCAUGGAACUGCUUGCAAUUUCAUUCAUUGCUUUCGCAACCCUGGAGGGGAUUAUGAGUGGGCUGAUUGGGAUAAUCCUCCACCUAAAUACUGGAUUAAAAAUAUGGCUGCUCUAUUUGGCCAUUCAGAUGAAUCAGUGUAUGACAAGCAAGUGGAGCUAGAAGAUCGUAAGAAGUCCAGGGGUUCGAACAGAAAGAAAAUACCAACAGACAACAGUAGGCGUCAUUCAAGAAGUUCUAUUGACUGCGAGACAGACAUGCGGGGUGGUGGUUCCAUCAGAGAAGAUCCAGAUAUAGAGAGAGAUGAAUAUAGGAGGCACUCAAUCAGGAGAGAGCACUCUAAUAGGAGGAGAAAAGAAAUAGCUUUUCUGGAUGAGCAUGAACCAUCUGAGGAAAACAAGUCUGAAGUAAGGUAUUAUUUGUCCUGUCAUGAUUCAGAUGAAGGCAUCUCCAAGACAACAGAUAUAGAUUUCCUUGAACGACACUGGAAAUAUGAAGAGAAGAACGGAUUUGAUUAUCAUUAUAAGAGGAAACCUACAACAGAAGACUUGUCUAGGAAGGAAAGAGGGACUUACUCCACUGGGCUAAGCAAAUCAGAGAAGCAUCAUAAAUCCAAAUCCCAUGAAACACAUAAGAAGGAACAUGGAUCAUCUAAUUGGCAAUGGGGCAAUGAUUCUAAUAACAGAGAGCCAAGCAAAAACCUUUCAAGUGAGAAUACUGGUGGCGGACUUACAAUUGAUGAAGAGCGGUAUAAUGGGGGAUAUUGUUCUGAUGAUGUUGGUUCCAACAGAGACUCAUCCAGUGUGCAUGGAACAAAGAAAGAUAAACGCCUGAGUGAGAAAAGAGAAUAUUAUCAAUAUAACUCGCAGCAUCAGAAAAGUCAUAAAUCCCAUAAAUAUGAAAGUGAUGAUGAGAAUAGUAAAUUGAGAAAACAGAGGACUGGAAGUCAGAGAGAUUAUUUUGAUGAUUCUGCAGAUGAUUGGAGAUCCACAGAUAAAAAUUCUGAUCAGGAAGAUACUGAUCACCAUUUACCAAGCAAUAGCAGUGAAUUCUAUAGGAAACAUAGUAGAAGUGGUGGAAAGAGAAAACAUCACCAAAGGAAAGAUGAGUACAGAAAAAAUGGUGGAGAAAUUAGUACUUCUGAUUCUGACGGUGCAGAGUUGAAUAGGAGGCCCUACAAAAAGAAUUCAAGAAGCCGCACACCCAUCCAGUGUUCGGGCAGUUUGAAGAGGGACAGUAGUCACUGAAGCAGUCAUGACUCCCGAGGAUUCAAUUGUGUACUAUAUGUGCAAGAAAAUGUGGCAGGUACCUGACUUUCUGGGCACCUAGUGAUGUCACUCAACCAAACAAUCCUCAGACGUUGAACUGAUACCUGAGCUACACCUUAAUAUGCUGGGCUACACCUCUCUGUUUUUGCUUCAGCAAGCAGUGGCGCUGUUACAUGAUGAUUUGCACUAACCCUUUUGCUGUGAUGACCAAAUGCAACUGCUAGGUUGUAUAGCAAGCUCUCUGAGUUAUUACCUUUUUUUCUUGUAUAUAUAAAGUAAUGCAAUGAGUGGCCUUUCCAUCCAGAACAAGUCCAUUGAAUGUGAGCAGGCCAUGCCUUUUGUCAUCACGUUCUUAUUUCUGGUAUUUUAGCUGGGGACUUGUCAGUGCAUUCAAAUGGCUGGUUAUAUGCUGGUACCAGGUUGAUGAUUAGGAUAUUUUCUUUUACAUUCUUAUUACAUGAGAUAUAAACUGCUAAGUUGUAUGUUGAUUUCUAAAUUUUUUAAUUUCUGAUAAAAGAUUACACUGAUAUUGUGUAUAUA
Molecule: RNA transcript, 3017 nt
Organism: Phoenix dactylifera (date palm)
Lineage: Eukaryota; Viridiplantae; Streptophyta; Magnoliopsida; Arecales; Arecaceae
Source: RefSeq, a predicted model, not a curated record